UACAGAGGGUGCGAGCGCUGUCCGGAAUCACUGGGCGUAAAGGGCGCGUAGGCGGCGCGGUAAGCGUGCGGUGAAAGCUCGGAGCUCAACUCCGAGUCGGCCGUGCGAACUGCCGCGCUCGAGCACAGUAGAGGCAGAUGGAAUUCCGGGUGUAGCGGUGGAAUGCGUAGAGAUCCGGAAGAACACCGGUGGCGAAGGCGGUCUGCUGGGCUGUGGCUGACGCUGAGGCGCGAAAGCCAGGGGAGCAAAC
Molecule: ribosomal RNA, 250 nt
Filed under: uncultured bacterium
Lineage: Bacteria
Description: partial 16S ribosomal RNA
Rfam family: Bacterial small subunit ribosomal RNA
Source: RNAcentral